AAAACCCGAGGAUGUAAUUGUUUCUGGUGGAAACAUAUCUGUCGGCCAAAAUGAUACACUCUCAGCUCUUUCAUCUGAAUUAGGUCAGCAUCAAACCAUGAGGCAGUUAGAGCAACAUGGAGCUUUUGAUUUUGGCUUUGACAUUAAUGGACUGUAUGGUCAAAUUUUAGUUUCUUGUCUCCACCAACAUUCUGAUUUCUCCGAAGUUCACCUUGUUGGCAGCUGGGGAGUUGGAUGUCUUAUUGAAGCAACGAGCAUUGUUGAGGGUGCACAGUGGUACUGCCAAAUGUGUCAAGUACAAGUCUGGGUCCAGGAUUCUCCUAGUUGUUUCUGGUGCUGGAUACGGUCGGCAUAGGACAAAAUAUAGGACUGGAAGGUGUAUUUCUGUUGACAAUAGUUUGUCUUGUUGCUUCGGAGAUCCUCCUUUGUCUUCUUAUUAUCUGCACAACGCUCCACGGGAACAACAAUUAAAUUUUUCCUUCAUUCUAGUUUUUUAAUGAUUAUUACAUGCUUCUACUUUCUGCCUUGUUUUCUGUGGAAAAUGAGGAGCUGAGUUUCUGAGAAUGUUGCUCUUCUUCUAUUACUAAAGGUUUUUCCAUGAAGACAAAAGCCCUCCGAGAGCUUGUAUCACACAGUUUAUGUAAUGACAACAAGCUGAAGACAUUAGCUUAAAUUAUAAUUUGACUCGGUCAAACGCACUUUUUAUC
This 707-nucleotide long non-coding RNA is filed under the name Olea europaea (common olive). RNAcentral describes it as "long non-coding RNA (OEUR_LNC004149)". The record is from RNAcentral. Lineage: Eukaryota; Viridiplantae; Streptophyta; Magnoliopsida; Lamiales; Oleaceae.